This is a non-coding RNA of Arachis ipaensis, 746 nucleotides long. The record is from RefSeq and is a predicted model, not a curated record. NCBI's taxonomy places the organism in Eukaryota, Viridiplantae, Streptophyta, Magnoliopsida, Fabales, Fabaceae.
UCCUAUCCUCUCGCGAUGCAUUCACACUCCACACUCUCCUUCAUAGGAGCUUCUUCCUAUCCUCUCAGAACCCAUCCUCUCAGAUCCUAUCCUCUCAGAGCUUCUUCCUCUCUCCGUCCACGUUCUCUCCAUCACAGGAGCUUCUUUCACCGCUGCCGCUCUCUCCAUCACUCCGUCCACGAUCUCAUCACUGACAGCAACUGCCAUUCGCUGGUCAUCCUCAUCCACCGGUUCAGGUAUGGCUUCAGGAAUCGAAACCAUUACACACUAACAAACCAACAAACCCUAGCAACAACAUUAUCAAUCUUACUCUCACUUUGUAAAGUUGUCUGUCUCUUCGAACCCUAGCUUUUCUUUCAAGACGACUUAUGUAUUUAUUUAUUUAUUCACUCCCUGUUUCAAUUUAAUUUUGAAUGAUUUUUGUCUUCAGAAAGUGCAGCGAUUAGAAUCUUCUUUGGUUAGAUUUCAUUGUGGUGUAUAAACGGUAGAUGAUGAAAUUUGUACUUUUGUGGUGGUUCUGCUUCAUUGUGCUUCAAAAUCUCCAUCUUUUCCCGUUUACUGUUUGUGAUCGAUAUAUCAUUCCUUCAAAUAAAUACUUGUUAGUUGUAAUGUGUGCACCUGCAUGGCUUCUACUUAUUUUGAUGGUGUUAACUUUCAUGUUUAUGUUGGAGAUAAUGUUAUAAUAUAUUCACGUCUAUCAUGUGUUCGACGCAAUGUCUCUGAGGGCCUUAUCAUGCUCCUUUCUU